This 3029-nucleotide ribosomal RNA is filed under the name wastewater metagenome. RNAcentral describes it as "bacterial LSU rRNA". It matches the Rfam family "Bacterial large subunit ribosomal RNA". The record is from RNAcentral.
AGGGCCAACGGCGGAUGCCUUGGCGCCAAGUGCCGAAGAAGGACGUGACUGGCUGCGAUAAGCCACGGGGAGUUGUCGAGUGAACUUUGAUCCGUGGAUUUCCGAAUGGGGAAACCCGGCGCGGGUUAUGCCGCGUCACCACCGUGUGAACACAUAGCACGGUUGGAGGGCACCACGGGAAUUGAAACAUCUAAGUACCGUGAGGAAAAGAAAGCAAAUGCGAGUCCCUCAGUAGCGGCGAGCGAAGAGGGAUCAGCCUAAACCAUCAACGCGAUACAGCCUGCCGGCGAUGCGUUGUUGGGGUUGUGGGACUUACUCCAUGCUGCGGUAGAAGCAUGAAGGAGUUAACAAGUUAGUAGGUAGGAGAACCUGUCAGGAAAGUCAGGCCGUAGAGGGUAACAGCCCCGUAUCCGAAACCUAUCUAACCUCCUUGUAAGCACCCGAGUAGCACGGGAUUCGUGAAAGUCCGUGUGAAUCUGCGAGGACCACCUCGUAAGGCUAAUUACGCUUGGCGACCGAUAGUGAACUAGUACCGUGAGGGAAAGGUGAAAAGUACCCCGGGAGGGGAGUGAAAUAGUACCUGAAAUCGUUGGCCUACAAACCGUCAAAGCAUCCCUUGUGGGUGUGAUGGCGUGCCUUUUGAAGAAUGAGCCGGCGAGUUACGGUUCGUGGCAAGGUUAACCAGUGAUGGGGAGCCGCAGCGAAAGCGAGUCUGAAUAGGGCGUUUAGUCGCGGGCCGUAGACCCGAAGCCGAGUGAUCUAUCCAUGGGCAGGUUGAAGCGAAGGUAAGACUUCGUGGAGGACCGAACCCACCAAGGUUGAAAACUUGGGGGAUGACCUGUGGAUAGGGGUGAAAAGCCAAUCGAACUCGGCGAUAGCUGGUUCUCCCCGAAAUGCAUUUAGGUGCAGCGUCGUGCGUUUACUAUCGGGGGUAGAGCACUGAUUGGUCUAGGGGGCCCACAAGCUUACCGAAAUCAGUCAAACUCCGAAUACCGAUUAGUCCACAGCACGGCAGUGAGACCAUGGGGGAUAAGCUUCAUGGUCGAGAGGGAAACAGCCCAGAACGCCAGCUAAGGCCCCAAAUUCUGUACUAAGUGGCAAAGGAUGUGGGAUUGCCCAGACAGCCAGGAGGUUGGCUUAGAAGCAGCCAUCCUUGAAAGAGUGCGUAAUAGCUCACUGGUCGAGUGAUCCUGCGCCGAUAAUGUAACGGGGCUAAGUACAGAGCCGAAGCUGCGUCAUCUUUUAUUAGAUGGGUAGGGGAGCGUCGAUCUUGCUGCGAAGCAGGCGAGGAAUCGUCUGUGGAGCGUGGUCGAGUGCGAAUGCCGGCAUGAGUAGCGAAUGAGGGGGGAGGAACCCCUCCACCGGAUGUCCAAGGGUUCCUGGGGAAGGCUCAUCCUCCCAGGGUUAGUCGGGAGCUAAGGCGAGGCCGAGAGGCGUAGUCGAUGCACAACCGGUUGAUAUUCCGGUACCACCGUGCUUGCGCCCAAUCCAAAAUCAGAUUGCUAAGGGGCUGUCUUCGGACGAACCGACCCAUUUGGUGGCGGAUAGCAAUGGGGUGACGCAGGAGGGUAGAUCAGCCCAGGCGUUGGUUGUCCUGGGGUAAGCGUGUAGGGAGAGUGAUAGGCAAAUCCGUCACUCAUACAUCCUGAGACGCGAUGCCGAACCGUUUAGGUGAAGUGAUUGAUCCCAUGCUGCCGAGAAAAACCUCUAGUGAGCAAGCAAGGUGCCCGUACCCCAAACCAACUCAGGUGGACAGGUAGAGAAUACCAAGGUGAUCGAGAUAACGCUGGUUAAGGAACUCGGCAAAAUGCCCCCGUAACUUCGGGAGAAGGGGGGCCUCAUUACGGUGAAGGACUUCGCGUCCUGAGCUGGAGGAGGCCGCAGUGACUAGGCCCAAGCGACUGUUUACUAAAAACACAGGAGCGUGCGAAGUCGUAAGACCAUGUAUACGCUCUGACGCCUGCCCGGUGCCGGAAGGUUAAGAGGAGAGGUUAGCCCUCGGGCGAAGCUUUGAAUCUAAGCCCCGGUAAACGGCGGCCGUAACUAUAACGGUCCUAAGGUAGCGAAAUUCCUUGUCGGGUAAGUUCCGACCUGCACGAAUGGCGUAACGACUUGGGCGCUGUCUCAACCAGUGACUCGGCGAAAUUGCAAUACGAGUAAAGAUGCUCGUUUCCUGCUGCUGGACGGAAAGACCCCGUGGAGCUUUACUGCAGCUUGAUGUUGUGUUUUGGUGCAUGUUGUGUAGGAUAGGUGGGAGUCUUGGAAGCGUGCGCGCUAGCGUGCGUGGAGACGCCGUUGAAAUACCACCCUUCUUGUAUUGAAACUCUAACCUAGGCCCGUUAUCCGGGUCAGGGACAGCGUCUGGUGGGCAGUUUGACUGGGGCGGUCGCCUCCUAAAGAGUAACGGAGGCGCCCAAAGGUUCUCUCAGCCUGGUUGGCAAUCAGGCGUCGAGUGCAAAGGCACAAGAGAGCUUGACUGCGAGACCUACAAGUCGAGCAGGUGCGAAAGCAGGGCUUAGUGACCCGGCCGUGGCAUGUGGAAGCGCGGUCGAUCAACGGAUAAAAGUUACCCCGGGGAUAACAGGCUUAUCUUGCCCAAGAGUCCAUAUCGACGGCAAGGUUUGGCACCUCGAUGUCGGCUCGUCGUAUCCUGGAGCUGAAGCAGGUUCCAAGGGUUGGGCUGUUCGCCCAUUAAAACGGCACGCGAGCUGGGUUUAGAACGUCGUGAGACAGUUCGGUCCCUAUCCGCAGCAGGCGAAAGAGAUUUGAGAGGACCUGUCCCUAGUACGAGAGGACCGGGACGGACGUAGCUCUCGUAUACCAGUUGUUCUGCCAAGAGCAUGGCUGGUUGGCGACCUACGGAAGAGAUAAGCGCUGAAAGCAUCUAAGCGCGAAACUCGCCUCAAGAUGAGAUCUCUCACCGGGUUAACCGGGUAAGGCCCCUGGUAGACCACCAGGUUGAUAGGCCGGAGGUGUAAGCACGGUGACGUGUUUAGCUGACCGGUACUAAUCGGCCGAGGGCUUGAUUC